UAGGUGAACCUGCGAAGCAGAAUCCCGCGAAUCAUCGAGUCUUUGAACGCAAGUUGCGCCCGAAGCCACCUGGCCGAGGGCACGUCUGCCUGGGUGUCACGCAUCGUUGCCCCCAACCCCAUCGCCCUGCAAAGAGGCGGUGGGGGCAUGCGGGGCGGACAUUGGCCUCCCGUGGGCUGAUGCCUGCGGCUGGCCUAAAAACGAGUCCUCGGCGACGAUCGCCACGACAAUCGGUGGUUGACAAACCUUCGUGACCCGUCGUGCGCGCAUCGCCGCUCAACGCGUGCUCUUUUGACCCUGUCGCGUCGCGCUCGCGACGCUUCCAACGCGACCCCAGGUCAGGCGGGACUACCCGCUGAG
This 360-nucleotide ribosomal RNA is filed under the name embryophyte environmental sample. RNAcentral describes it as "eukaryotic LSU rRNA". The stretch from base 1 to 99 matches the Rfam family "5.8S ribosomal RNA", at positions 52 to 154 of the family's 154-position model. The record is from RNAcentral. Lineage: Eukaryota; Viridiplantae; Streptophyta.